GACGAACGCUGGCGGCGUGCUUAACACAUGCAAGUCGAACGGAAAGGCCCUGCUUUUGUGGGGUGCUCGAGUGGCGAACGGGUGAGUAACACGUGAGUAACCUGCCCUUGACUUUGGGAUAACUUCAGGAAACUGGGGCUAAUACCGGAUAGGAGCUCCUGCUGCAUGGUGGGGGUUGGAAAGUUUCGGCGGUUGGGGAUGGACUCGCGGCUUAUCAGCUUGUUGGUGGGGUAGUGGCUUACCAAGGCUUUGACGGGUAGCCGGCCUGAGAGGGUGACCGGCCACAUUGGGACUGAGAUACGGCCCAGACUCCUACGGGAGGCAGCAGUGGGGAAUAUUGCACAAUGGGCGGAAGCCUGAUGCAGCAACGCCGCGUGCGGGAUGACGGCCUUCGGGUUGUAACGGACUUCGCUCGUGACGAAGCGUGAGU
This 430-nucleotide ribosomal RNA is filed under the name uncultured bacterium. RNAcentral describes it as "bacterial SSU rRNA". It matches the Rfam family "Bacterial small subunit ribosomal RNA", at positions 28 to 457 of the family's 1533-position model. The record is from RNAcentral.